Ictidomys tridecemlineatus (thirteen-lined ground squirrel) is the source of this 69-nucleotide non-coding RNA. The record is from Rfam. Lineage: Eukaryota; Metazoa; Chordata; Mammalia; Rodentia; Sciuridae.
GGGGUUGUGGCUCAGAGGUAGAGUGCUCGCCUAGCAUGCGUGAGGCACUGGGUUUGAUCCUCAGCACCA